Saccostrea echinata is the source of this 475-nucleotide long non-coding RNA. RefSeq lists it as uncharacterized. Lineage: Eukaryota; Metazoa; Mollusca; Bivalvia; Ostreida; Ostreidae. The transcript has 3 exons. The record is from RefSeq and is a predicted model, not a curated record.
CCGGAUUUUUUACCUACUUGGGUUCGUAAAAUACCGACAUGUCAACACAAAAAUGGAGGUCAUGCACUGUUUAUCGGUAGCUAAUCUGUUUAUUGCCACUGAUAACAGGAGAGGGGAACAAUUUCAUGGAAGCUAAUAAUGAAGAGUCUGAAGAGUUCCCCUCAGAUUUUGAGAUUCAAAAUCUUAGUAAAUCCUGCAUCAACAUCAGCAUAUAAAAGCCCCUGAAACUACAGAGCAGCAUGACAGUGCCUUUAGAAGACUUCUUUGAAUUUACAUAGCUAAACAGGAUCCUUAAAUCCAGGACACAACUCUUGCUCCUUAGACUUAGUGAGAAAAAUCCAUUCAUCCAUCUAUUAAAAGCUGGAAACUCAGACUGUCUGCAGAACCUUAUUAAUUUUUCUAAUUGCCAAGUUAAACUUUGACAUUUGCCAUGAAUAUUAUUCAAAUGACACUCUUAUGGCCAGGCAGAAUAUAC